This 315-nucleotide ribosomal RNA is filed under the name Gigaspora margarita. Its description in RNAcentral is "eukaryotic LSU rRNA". The record is from RNAcentral. Lineage: Eukaryota; Fungi; Glomeromycota; Glomeromycetes; Diversisporales; Gigasporaceae.
UUUUGAAAGGGAAACGAUUGAAGUCAGUCAUGCCGGUGGGAAUCAACUUAGGGGAAACUCUGGGUGCACUUCUUCGCUUGGCAGGUCAACGUCGAUUUUGAAUGUCAUAAAAUAAUUGGGGGAAGGUAGCUCCUUCGGGAGUGUUAUAGCCCUUGAUAGAUGUGAUGUUUGGGGUCGAGGAUUGCAACGGAUACCCUUCGGGGCUAGCCGCCUGAUCUCUAAUUGGUGUUGGGUUACGGAUAGCAUGCUGACCGUGAUCUAAUUACUGGUUAAAAGGUUAGAGUGUGCAUAAAUUCGUUAAGGAUGUUGACGUAA